RNAcentral lists this ribosomal RNA (406 nucleotides) under Vibrio sp. H5E. RNAcentral's name for it is "bacterial SSU rRNA". It matches the Rfam family "Bacterial small subunit ribosomal RNA", at positions 770 to 1176 of the family's 1533-position model. Lineage: Bacteria; Pseudomonadati; Pseudomonadota; Gammaproteobacteria; Vibrionales; Vibrionaceae. The record is from RNAcentral.
AAACAGGAUUAGAUACCCUGGUAGUCCACGCCGUAAACGAUGUCUACUUGGAGGUUGUGGCCUUGAGCCGUGGCUUUCGGAGCUAACGCGUUAAGUAGACCGCCUGGGGAGUACGGUCGCAAGAUUAAAACUCAAAUGAAUUGACGGGGGCCCGCACAAGCGGUGGAGCAUGUGGUUUAAUUCGAUGCAACGCGAAGAACCUUACCUACUCUUGACAUCCAGAGAACUUUCCAGAGAUGGAUUGGUGCCUUCGGGAACUCUGAGACAGGUGCUGCAUGGCUGUCGUCAGCUCGUGUUGUGAAAUGUUGGGUUAAGUCCCGCAACGAGCGCAACCCUUAUCCUUGUUUGCCAGCACUUCGGGUGGGAACUCCAGGGAGACUGCCGGUGAUAAACCGGAGGAAGGUGG